This 262-nucleotide ribosomal RNA is filed under the name uncultured prokaryote. RNAcentral's name for it is "partial 16S ribosomal RNA". It matches the Rfam family "Bacterial small subunit ribosomal RNA", at positions 524 to 784 of the family's 1533-position model. The record is from RNAcentral.
UACGUAGGGUGCGAGCGUUGUCCGGAAUUACUGGGCGUAAAGAGCUCGUAGGUGGUUUGUCGCGUCGUCUGUGAAAUUCCGGGGCUUAACUCCGGGCGUGCAGGCGAUACGGGCAAUACUUGAGUGCUGUAGGGGAGACUGGAAUUCCUGGUGUAGCGGUGAAAUGCGCAGAUAUCAGGAGGAACACCAAUGGCGAAGGCAGGUCUCUGGGCAGUAACUGACGCUGAGGAGCGAAAGCAUGGGUAGCGAACAGGAUUAGAUA